AUAUAGACGCAGUUGUGGGUGGCCUGCGUAUCUUCAUUGUGACCAUCUGCAUGGUAAAAAUAAUAAUGUCAGCACCUGGAAAAAUUUAACUUUCACAGCAAGGAAGAAAUCUGAAAGAGUACCAAUUUUAUCAUGUUUGCCCACAUGAGGAGUCCGGCAAUAGCCCACUGAAAAAUUUGGUUGAUGUCAACAUCCGUGCACACGAGGGCCUGGGAUCUUCAGUCAACUUGGCGUCCACCAGGACGUUGCCAUGUCCCUAGGACAGCUCUCCAUCGGGCUGCUAACGGAGCCACUGGCUUCUUGGACCUCUUGGGGAGGGUCGAUGGUGCUCGUGCAAGCAGCAGAUCCCAGGGCAACUUGCUGCUGUUUGCAAUGGCUGUCUGCCGAGGAGAGGCAGGCAUCUAGCAACAUCUGUUGUUGGGGCAAUGGAUGAAUUCCCUGCUAUGUUUGUUAACUGCUCAUUACUCUGUAAUUUGUCUAUGAUUGUAAUCAUGUGAUAACGUGUUUAUCAUUCAUUACCUUUGAAACGUCAUGAUUUUGACCAGCUCUACCUGGAGCUCAUUACCUUUGUAAAUUCUCAUGAUUCAUGUGUUUAUGAUUCAUUACCUUUGCAAUUAUUCAUGAGUGUGACCAGCUCUACCUGGAGCUCAUUACCUUUGUAAAUUCUCAUGAUUCAUGUGUUUAUGAUUCAUUACCUUUGCAAUUAUUCAUGAGUGUGACCAGCUCUACCUGGAGCUCAUUACCUUUGUAACUUGGUCAUGAUUAUGACCAGAUCUAGUUCAUUACCUUUGUAACUUGCUCAGCUAUCAAAACUUUGGAGUCCAGUCCCUGGACCAAUUAUGUACCUCUGUAAUCUUUUGACUACCGC
Non-coding RNA from Cherax quadricarinatus, 868 nucleotides. Lineage: Eukaryota; Metazoa; Arthropoda; Malacostraca; Decapoda; Parastacidae. The record is from RefSeq and is a predicted model, not a curated record.